ACGGGAGGCAGCAGUGAGGAAUAUUGGUCAAUGGCCGAGAGGCUGAACCAGCCAAGUCGCGUGAGGGAUGAAGGUUCUAUGGAUCGUAAACCUCUUUUAUAAGGGAAUAAAGUGCGGGACGUGUCCCGUUUUGUAUGUACCUUAUGAAUAAGGAUCGGCUAACUCCGUGCCAGCAGCCGCGGUAAUACGGAGGAUCCGAGCGUUAUCCGGAUUUAUUGGGUUUAAAGGGUGCGUAGGCGGCCUUUUAAGUCAGCGGUGAAAGUCUGUGGCUCAACCAUAGAAUUGCCGUUGAAACUGGGGGGCUUGAGUAUGUUUGAGGCAGGCGGAAUGCGUGGUGUAGCGGUGAAAUGCAUAGAUAUCACGCAGAACCCCGAUUGCGAAGGCAGCCUGCCAAGCCAUUACUGACGCUGAUGCACGAAAGCGUGGGGAUCAAACAGGAUUAGAUACCCUGGUAGUCCACGCAGUAAACGAUGAUCACUAGCUGUUUGCGAUACACUGUAAGCGGCACAGCGAAAGCGUUAAGUGAUCCACCUGGGGAGUACGCCGGCAACGGUGAAACUCAAAGGAAUUGACGGGGGCCCGCACAAGCGGAGGAACAUGUGGUUUAAUUCGAUGAUACGCGAGGAA
This 627-nucleotide ribosomal RNA is filed under the name uncultured bacterium. RNAcentral's name for it is "bacterial SSU rRNA". It matches the Rfam family "Bacterial small subunit ribosomal RNA", at positions 341 to 968 of the family's 1533-position model. The record is from RNAcentral.